UUCAAUUCAAUACAAAAAGUGCAAUGCAUACAAAUUUCUCUCUCUAGAAGUUGUUGCUCUCCAUCGAGAACCUUAACCUCCAUUAAUGGAGGGAACAAGUUCACUUUGAGUUCAUGCUCUUAGCUAUAACAUGGUAUCAGAACCAUUUCCCUUUCCACUCUAGAUUUCGAGUGUUUUUUUUUCAAUCGAUCGUUUUUGUUGUGUGACCUAAUUGCUAGGUUCUCCUUUUUGCGAGGGCCCUUCUCUGAAGAUUCCUCUGGAGCUUGGUAGAGCCAAGAAUGGUCUAUACUUUCUUUGUCCCAAGUGCCACAAUUGUUGUGCAUCUUCUCGUGGAAUUGUUUUACCUCAUGUUAUCUAUCAUACUUCAAAUGCUCAGUUUGUCCCUUCUUUAGUCAAUUGUGGAAAGGUCUUGAUUGAAAGUAAAUGUCAAGAUUCACCAUCACCUACUGUAAAAUACUCUCAAACAUUUAAUAAAGAAGCUUGUUCUGUUGUUUA
Molecule: long non-coding RNA, 495 nt
Organism: Solanum dulcamara
Lineage: Eukaryota; Viridiplantae; Streptophyta; Magnoliopsida; Solanales; Solanaceae
Exons: 2
Source: RefSeq, a predicted model, not a curated record